Molecule: transfer RNA, 75 nt
Filed under: Methanobacteriota archaeon
Lineage: Archaea; Methanobacteriati; Methanobacteriota
Also listed under: 1 other name
Description: Euryarchaeota archaeon (hot springs metagenome) tRNA-Glu
Rfam family: tRNA
About the family: Transfer RNA (tRNA) molecules are approximately 80 nucleotides in length. Their secondary structure includes four short double-helical elements and three loops (D, anti-codon, and T loops). Further hydrogen bonds mediate the characteristic L-shaped molecular structure. tRNAs have two regions of fundamental functional importance: the anti-codon, which is responsible for specific mRNA codon recognition, and the 3' end, to which the tRNAs corresponding amino acid is attached (by aminoacyl-tRNA synthetases). tRNAs cope with the degeneracy of the genetic code in two manners: having more than one tRNA (with a specific anti-codon) for a particular amino acid; and 'wobble' base-pairing, i.e. permitting non-standard base-pairing at the 3rd anti-codon position.
Source: RNAcentral
GCUCCCGUAGUGUAGUCCGGUCAAUCAUUCUGGCCUUUCGAGCCAGAUACCCGGGUUCAAAUCCCGGCGGGAGCA